This 254-nucleotide ribosomal RNA is filed under the name uncultured bacterium. RNAcentral describes it as "partial 16S ribosomal RNA". It matches the Rfam family "Bacterial small subunit ribosomal RNA", at positions 524 to 776 of the family's 1533-position model. The record is from RNAcentral.
UACGUAGGGGGCUAGCGUUGUCCGGAAUCAUUGGGCGUAAAGAGCGUGUAGGCUGCUCGGUAAGUCCGCUGUAAAAGUCAAAGGCUCAACCUUUGAAUGUCAGUGGAUACUGCCGGGCUAGAGUCCGGAAGAGGCGAGUGGAACUGCGAGUGUAGAGGUGAAAAUUCGUAGAUAUUCGCAAGAACACCAGUGGCGAAGGCGGCUCACUGGUCCGGUACUGACGCUGAGGUGCGAAAGCGUGGGGAGCAAACCGG